Neofelis nebulosa (Clouded leopard) is the source of this 588-nucleotide long non-coding RNA. RefSeq lists it as uncharacterized. The transcript is spliced from 3 exons. The record is from RefSeq and is a predicted model, not a curated record. NCBI's taxonomy places the organism in Eukaryota, Metazoa, Chordata, Mammalia, Carnivora, Felidae.
GUCAGCUUCUGGAGUUGCUUUCACAUCUUGAGAGGGUUGAACAAUAUCUACCCAGAAGACUAGAAAAUAUAUAUGAAUAACAGUGUUUCCUUCAAGACGCUUAACAAUACGUAUCGGUCAAAAGCAUCUAUUUGAUGAUCAUGUUUGUUCCUUCAUUGACUGAGCCAAAUGAAGCAGCCACAGGAAACCAGUGCAGAGACCAUCAGGAAAUUGUCAAAGAACAGCAAGAAGUAAAGAGGAUCGAUUCCUGGAGCCAAACAGGAUUGCAGGAAAUAACAAUAGCAAACCAGCAAAAAUUCAUGUUCCAGGGAACCCAUAUUUGAAUUCUCGCCAUUGUUCAAGCUGAAGAUGAUGAACCAUCAUUGCCUGUUUCCCUAUUCAUUAUCCUGUCAACAUCAAGAGCUGUUCCCAGAGAAGCUCUCAAAUUCACCUUUUAUUAAAGGCUACGAAUGAAUGAAAAAAAAAAAAAAAGAAACAUACCAAAUGGAAUGAGCAUCAUCUAUGCCAAAUAUUAGGUCUAAUAUUUGCUGUAGAAAUUUUACUAGGGAGAAUUUCAAAUCAAGACCAACCACUUCUUUCUCUGCUUAA